Parus major (Great Tit) is the source of this 1880-nucleotide long non-coding RNA. RefSeq lists it as uncharacterized. The transcript is spliced from 3 exons. NCBI's taxonomy places the organism in Eukaryota, Metazoa, Chordata, Aves, Passeriformes, Paridae. The record is from RefSeq and is a predicted model, not a curated record.
AAAUCACGUGUCCCUUCCGAAAGUGAAAGUGCCGCCGCUCCCGCGCGGGCGGUGUCGCCGCUCCCGGGAGCGCCCGCGGGAUGCUCCGGCACCUGGGCUGCGCACCGCCUCCCCGGACUAUUGAAUUUUAAUAAUUAAAAUAAAUAAACCGGACCUAAAGCGGAGCGUGGCACCCUCGGAGCGCAGGGGGCCGCCCGCACCAGCUCCAGCCGGGACUUCCCGGGGCUGGAAACCCCCGGGCCAAGUCCAGAGGAAUUUCCCCAUGGGGCUUUAAGAAAUUUCAUCCAAAUCCAAAUUUCAUCCAGGAAAUUCCACAAGACAAAACUGAGUCAAGCACCUGAACCCAGGACAGGGGCAUUCAGCAGAUCCAGCAAAAUGUAUCUAAGGGCAGUGAACACCAUGAAACCCAGAGGAGCCAGGAGAGCCAGGUCAGGGUGGGAGCAAGGGACAAGGCUGGCAUGGACAAGGACCCUGCCUGGCAGGAGAGGGGGAUACCUGUCCUGCACAGCCACAGCUGUUGUCUCCUGCCAUCCCUCCAGGUCCUGAUAGCUCAGGGACCAGUCCAGGAAGCUAAAAAUCAGCCUCAUUUAGGUGACCAGCUCCUGCACAGUGGAAGAAGAGCUGGAGAUUUCAGGAGGAAGAGUCAGUUUUUUAAAGAAGUUUUUAAAAGCAUCCCAAAUGACAAGGAGAGCCUUCCCUGAACCUCAGCCCUUCACUGCACCAAAUUUUCCUGCGAACUUAACCCCACCAUACAAACCUGCACCCCAUGCACAUCCCUGCAGCCACAAAUCACCCAGUUUCAGGGGACAAUCCUUGCAGGAAGAAGGGCAAGCUGAAACCCCACAAGUUUUAUCAGCAAGUUUUAUCUUUUGGGGACCCUCCCUGUAAAUCAAAAAGCAGCAAGGAAUGGGGCACCUUAAAGAAAAAAAAUAAAAUAAACCUUUCUCUUUUAAUCCACCCAAGGGAAAUCCAAAGCAAGAGCAGCAUCACAGCACUACACACAGCACAGACAUCUAUCAUUGCCUUUGCACAGAUUCCUUCCCAGAUACAUGGAGAAGUCAUUAAGAAAAAAGAAAAAGAAAAUUAUUCACAUAUGCAAAGUGACAAGUAACGAAUCAGCCACAGAACAACUUUUUCAAAGAGAAAAAGGAUGCAUCAAGGAAGAAGGCCCUCAACAUACAGGUUUCACGAAAACCUAACCCAAGAAUGGUGAAACAGAGGUGGUUUUCUUUUAAACAUUAAAAACAAUGGUAUUUUAAAAAUUAAUUUAAAUACACAUUCAAAACACAAACACCAAGCAGGCGCCUGGAGAAUAAAGCAAAAUGAAGGAAUGAAAAGUGAAUUCAACCAGUUUAAUUUCAACACCAAAGUUGGGUGGAUCGCACCAAAUGGAAUAAAUAAUGGAAAAGAUCACACUGGGUUGGUAGAUCUCACACUUAAGAUCACUUAACUAGAAUUAAUUACACAGCCCAAGAGAGUACUGAAUGAGGAAUUCCUCUGACAAGUGAAUCUUAGCUGGGGCAGUGUCCCUUUGACAGAGCAGGUUGUAGGUGUGGACUUGCCCUCUGCCACCCACCACUGAUCCCCACCCCAGGAGCAAAUGGGAUCUUCUUGUGAUGCAGAGGACACACCCCCUCAAGUGAUGGACACACAAACAGCUCCUUGCUCAGAGGAUGUGAACCCUCUGCCUCUUCCACGCCCGCUGGCUCCAGUCACACCCAAGGCAAACAUCAGAACACAACCAGACCUUGUGUUCUCACCUGGAAGAGUGAGCCCACAGGUGCAGCAUUUCUACUGUGGCUCCAUGAGGUUGGGCAGUGCCAGAACUGGAGCCAGUGCCUCCUUCCACACACCUGGGGUCAGGCUGGGAAAAAAUCAGA